GACGAACGCUGGCGGCGUGCCUAAUACAUGCAAGUAGAACGCUGAAGAGAGGAGUUUGCUCUUCUUGGAUGAGUUGCGAACGGGUGAGUAACGCGUAGGUAACCUGCCUUGUAGCGGGGGAUAACUAUUGGAAACGAUAGCUAAUACCGCAUAACAAUGGAUGACACAUGUCAUUUAUUUGAAAGGGGCAAUUGCUCCACUACAAGAUGGACCUGCGUUGUAUUAGCUAGUAGGUGAGGUAAUGGCUCACCUAGGCGACGAUACAUAGCCGACCUGAGAGGGUGAUCGGCCACACUGGGACUGAGACACGGCCCAGACUCCUACGGGAGGCAGCAGUAGGGAAUCUUCGGCAAUGGGGGCAACCCUGACCGAGCAACGCCGCGUGAGUGAAGAAGGGUCUCGGAUCGUAAAGCUCUGUUGUAAGUCAAGAACGGGUGUGAGAGUGGAAAGUUCACACUGUGACGGUAGCUUACCAGAAAGGGACGGCUAACUACGUG
This 497-nucleotide ribosomal RNA is filed under the name uncultured bacterium. RNAcentral describes it as "partial 16S ribosomal RNA". It matches the Rfam family "Bacterial small subunit ribosomal RNA", at positions 28 to 507 of the family's 1533-position model. The record is from RNAcentral.